Long non-coding RNA from Homo sapiens (human), 2889 nucleotides. Ensembl annotates it as long intergenic non-protein coding RNA 662. NCBI's taxonomy places the organism in Eukaryota, Metazoa, Chordata, Mammalia, Primates, Hominidae. The record is from Ensembl.
GUCCACUGCGGUUCCGCCGUGCCAAGGGGAGCUUGGCUGUUCACGGGCCUCACCUGCUAGCGAGAAGAUAGCUUGGCCGGGCGGCUGAUCUCACCUUGUAAUUCUGACACUGUGUCUCCCGGGCUUGUCGGCUUCAUGACUUGUGCCCAAAGUUUGAUUUCUCGCAGACCAGGAGGACCCAUUGGACCCCCGGGCUGGCUGCAGGGCCCACACCUGGGUUAGACCUCGCACAGGGACGCUGCUGCCACUGUAAUAAAGCGUGCCUACACGCUUCUGAAACUGGUGUAGGAACAACCUCAGUUCUGUGAAAGGCGGACGCAGCAGGACAGAAUCUCCGUGGACAUCUGUCUGGAGGAGCAAUUUUACUGCGACAUUUUAAAGAAACAAAUUUAAUUGAUUUCCAAGGGUGUCCAUCGCGCUUCCUUCACUGCCUUGAUCAUGUCGGGGUCACCACCUGCGGGGGUUUGUCCUGCAGACCCUGACUCAACGACGGAUGAAUAAUGUACACUGACACAGAUCUUAUGCUUGUCAGUCCUGCUGAGCAUCCAGGCCACUUACAGACUCCAAGAAGAGUCCUGUCAGCCACGGCUCUGACUUGUUGGCCCUCCCGGCAUUUAUUUAGCACACAUUUAAUGACAGAAGUCUCAGGCUGGAAACACUCUUUUUGUAGAACAUACAAAUGGACAUUUCUAAGCACAUUGAGGCCUAUAAUGAAAAAUCAAAUAUCCCACAAUGAAAACUAGAAGGAAGCUAUCUGUGAUAAUGCUUUGUGGUGUAUGGAUUCAUCUCACUGACUGAAACCUGAGUUUUGAUUCACCAGAAUCUAUGCAGGGACAUUUUUGUGCUCAUUGAGGCCUACUGUGAAAAACCAAACAUCAGGGGUGGAGCCAAAAAAGCCAAAUAGGAACAGCUCCAGUCUACAGCUCCCAGCAUGAGCCACACAGAAGAUGGAUGAUUUCUGCAUUUCCAACUGAGAAUCUAUGAAAGGAUAUUUCUGAGCCCAUUGAGGAUCUAUAGUAAAAAAAUCUAUUAUCCUGUGAUAAACACUAGAAGUAAGCUAUCUGUGAAAAUGCUUUGCCUUGUGUGGAUUCAUCUUACAGAGGUUGAAAGCAUUCUUUUUGUAGAAUCUAUGAAAAGACAUUUCUGAGCUUAUUCUGGUUUAUAGAGUAAAACCGAAUAUCCUGAAAUAAAAACUGGAAACUAGGUUGAAAACACAAUUUUUGAAGUAUCUAUGAUGGGACAUAUCGAAGCCCGUUGAGACUUAGUGAAAAACAGAAUAUCCCCUGACAAAAAUUAGAAACAAGCUUUCUGUGAAAAUGUUUUUUGAUGUCUGUAUUUAUCUCACUGAAUGAAAAAUGCAUUUUGAUUCAAGAUGCUGGAAACACUAUUUUUGUAGAAUCUAUGAAGGGAUAUUUCUGAACUCAUUGAAGUCUACAGUGACAAACCGACUAUCCAAUGAUAAAAACUAGAAAUACGCUGUGAAAAAGUUUUAUGAUGUGUGGAUUCUUCUCACUGAAUUAAACCUGCAUUGUAAAUCAUCAGGACUGAAACCUUCUAUUUGUAGAAUCUAUGAAGGAACAUUUAUGAGCCCAUCGAGGCCUGUAUUGAAAAACAAAGGAUCCUGUGGUAAAAACUAGAAACAACCUAAAUAUGGAAAUGCUUUGAGAAAUGUGAUUCAUCUCACAGAGAUGAAUCUUUGUAUUGAUUCAUCAGGUUGGAAACUCUCUUUUUGUGGAAAAUAAAAGGUCUAAAAAGAGACAUAUCUGAGCCCAUUGUGGCCUACAGUGAAAAACUGAAUUUCUUGAACAAACGCUGGAAACCAGCUAUGUGUGAAAAUGCUUUGUGAUGUGUGGGUUUAUCUCACAAAGUUAAACCAUUGUUUUGAUUCAACAUGUUGGAAACACUCUCUCUGUAGAAUCUAUGAAAAAACAUUUCUGAGCUCAUUGAGAAGUAUAGUGAAAAACCACAUAUCCUGAAAUAGAAACUAGAAACAAGAUACGUGUGGAAUGUUUGUGAUGUGUGGAUUCAUCUCACCAAAUGGAACCUGUAUUUUGAUUCACCCAGUUGGAAACACACUUUUUGUAGAAUCUACGAAGGGACAUUUCAGAGCCCAUUGAGGCCUAUUGUGAAAAAUCAAUUAUCCCAUGGUAAAAACUUGAAACAACCUAUCUGUGAAAAUACUUUGUGAUGUAUAGAUUCAUCUCACAAAGUUAAACCAUUGUUUUUAUUCAACACAUUGGAAACACUAUUUUUUAGAAUCUACAAAUAGAAAUUUCUUAGCUUUUUGAGACCUAUAGUAAGAAACUAAUAUCCCACAAUAAAAACUAGAGACAAGCUGUAUGUGAAAAUGUUUUGUGAUGUGUGCAUUCAUCUAACUGAAUGGCACCUGUGUUUUGAUUCACAAGGUUGGAAACACUUUUUGUAGAAUCUACAGAGGUACAUUUCUGAGCCCAUUGAGGCCUACUGUGAAAAACCAAAUAUUCUGUGAUAAAAAUUAGAAACAAGCUAUCUUUGAAAAUGCUUUGGUAUAUGUGGAUUUAUCUCACAGCAUUUAACCUAUGUUUUGAUUCAACAGGUUGGAACGACUUUUUUAGCAGAAUCUAUGACAGUACGUUUCUUUGUCCUUUUAAACCUAUCAUGAAAAACCAAAUUUCCUGUGAUAAAAACCAGAAACAGGGUUUCUGUGAAAAUGCUUUGUGAUGUGUGGAUUCAUCUCACAGACGUUAACCUUUGUUUUGUUUCAACAGGUUCAAAACACUCUUCCUGUAAAAUCUACUUAGGGACAGUCCUGAGCCCAUUGAGGUCUUUAGUAAAAAACGGAAUAUCCCAUGAUAAAAACUAGAAACAAACUAUCUGGGAAAAUGUUUGUGAUGUGUGGUUUCAUAUCAC